This 1846-nucleotide unclassified non-coding RNA is filed under the name Haliotis rubra (blacklip abalone). Its description in RNAcentral is "uncharacterized LOC124269618, transcript variant X4". The record is from RNAcentral. Lineage: Eukaryota; Metazoa; Mollusca; Gastropoda; Lepetellida; Haliotidae.
UUACGACAAGCAUGGGUUGAUGAGGAAUUGUAAACAAAUAUAUCUUCGUUACAGUUCUCUAAUGAUAAUUAACAGUUUUCUAAAGCUGUGCCUGUUUUAGUUACAUGAAGUGAUAUUGGUACACGUGCUGUAUUAAUCGAAUAUGUAUUUGGAACGCAAUGCUUACGUUAUGUCUUCACGAAACCAACAUGUUUAGCACAUUCAAAGCUCUGUCAAACUUGUUCUUCAAAAUGCUCAGUAAAUUGUACGUGAAGAAGCGUCUGUCAAUUGUAACCAGAAUGCGUGUUUAAUAGUCUGACAUAUAUAAUAUAAUCGAUACACCGUAAGCGUUAUCGAUUUGAAGGAGCUGGUUACGUGAUAAAACGCAAGUCUUCUGCAUAUCUUGCUUACAAAGUUAAACCUCCAGGUGACACACCAUAGUGCGUUGCCAUAACAUAUACCCCUCCAUGUAACAACGAUACACGCCUAUCAUCGGACAUCCUGUAGUAACACCACUGUCACCACUGUAGGCAACCAGACUCACCACAAUAGACAGAGAGUCACCCCGCGGGACAAGACAUUGCACACUUCAACCAUGUCACACAGAGAGAUACUACAACGUAAUCAUGUGUACCUGAAGGAACAACUGGAUGUGGCAAAGAUUCUGGAUGAACUGUAUCAACGGCAGGUGUUCAGCCUUAUGGAUAAAGAAAGGUGCAUAGGUAAACAUGGACUAGCUGCCCAGAGCGAUGAACUGUUGUGCAUCCUGCCUAGGAAAGGUAAAAAGGGAUACGACACCUUCCUUCAGAUACUGGAAACGGUUCAGCCCUACAUAAAAGAUCAUCUCGAAGGGCAGGACUCAAGCGAUUCACAUACUGCCAGUGCUCCAGACAAACAGCUGGUGGAUCAGCUGGAGCGCCUAAAAAUGGAAAACGAAAAGUCAAGAAUGGAGGCAGCCCGACGUGAGAAGUUUCUUAGACAGGUCGAAAAAGAGAAUGAGAUGUUAAAGAAGCAACUACUUCAGAAGAAUCAAGGGGCAGCAGAGAGUGACAGAACAAGAAUUCCCUGAUUCAAGGUUGGACACAGGUAUUUCACAUGACGUCGCUUAUCAUACGCUGAUGUUUCCAGGACAAAACAUCUCUCUACAGUGCCCUCAACUACAAAUGGACGCUGCACGAGCCAACCCAGACAUGUGCCACGUAACUUCAGACGGUGAGCUGGUCAACUCGCCGUCCGCCACAGAAGACAGCGCCAGGGACAAGUUACGGAAAUAUGAGGGAACAUGUGCCUCCACCCCCAUCCCCCUUCCUCCAUGCCCCUCUACUGUCACCCCUGCCCCCCACACACCACAAUAUUGGGAGACCCACUCUAGGGUGGGUGUGGCGCGUGAAGGGUGGUUGUGGCCUGUCCUGGAGGUGGGUGUGGUGGAGGAGAGCCGGGUAGACAGUGAGGGGUAUGUUUGGCUACAGCCCCGCUCCUGGUGUGUCAGUGUAGGGAGCUGUGACACACACCAGGGGAGUCUCUGUACCAGGGUGUAUCACCAGAGAAAGGAGGGAUGUGUCACAGUAACACAAUGUCUGACACACCCGGCACACAGGCCACCCUCCACUAUGGCGUUGUGCUGGAUGUGGGGAGGGGGAGACUCGCCUUCAUUGACCUCAACAGAGAGGUUGUUUUAGCCAAGGUGGAUGUUGAGUGGAGCGAGUCUCUUCUUCCCAUGUUUAGUGUUGGGCGGCCAGAUGACUUUACAGUCAACAUGAAGGUGAUAAGUGGCGCAGAUAUCACCAUGACUGACACCAAGAAGUCACUUAUUUAUGACGCCUUGAAUUAGACAAUAAAAUAAACAUGACAUUGUGUAAACUUGUAA